CUUGGUCAUUUAGAGGAAGUAAAAGUCGUAACAAGGUUUCCGUAGGUGAACCUGCGGAAGGAUCAUUAGUGAAUUUUAGGGCGUCUACUUGUAGAGCCUGACCCUCCACUUCUAACACUGUGCAUUAUUCGGUCAUUUGGCGACGUACCUUCGGGUGUCGAGCUGUUUGGCUAAUUUUACCAUUAAACAUUAGUACCAGUAUGUAACGAAAUAUCGAAACAAAAAAAAACUUUCAACAACGGAUCUCUUGGCUCUCGCAUCGAUGAAGAACGCAGCGAAAUGUGAUAAGUAAUGUGAAUUGCAGAAUUCAGUGAAUCAUCGAAUCUUUGAACGCACAUUGCGCCCCUUGGUAUUCCGAGGGGCAUGCCUGUUCGAGCGUCAUUAUGACCACUCAAGCCUAGCUUGGUAUUGGGGUUCGCGGUCUCGCGGCCCUUAAAAUCAGUGGCGGUGCCAUCUGGCUCUAAGCGUAGUAAUUUAUCUCGCUAUUGGGUCCGGUGGUUGCUUGCCAACAACCCCCAAUUUCUAAGGUUGACCUCGGAUCAGGUAGGGAUACCCGCUGAACUUAAGCAUAUCAAUAAGCGGAGGA
RNAcentral lists this ribosomal RNA (586 nucleotides) under uncultured Ascomycota. Its description in RNAcentral is "eukaryotic LSU rRNA". The stretch from base 228 to 381 matches the Rfam family "5.8S ribosomal RNA". Lineage: Eukaryota; Fungi; Ascomycota. The record is from RNAcentral.